Molecule: long non-coding RNA, 1759 nt
Organism: Tympanuchus pallidicinctus (lesser prairie-chicken)
Lineage: Eukaryota; Metazoa; Chordata; Aves; Galliformes; Phasianidae
Exons: 2
Source: RefSeq, a predicted model, not a curated record
CUUGCCACUUUCAGGGGCUGAUCUAAUCUGGGGACCCUUCUCAUCAACGCCUACAUCCGGGUGUUCUCAAGCACUUCUCAGACACCAGUGUGGAUGCCAGCUCCUCUGCAUCUCACUUCCAUCUCCUCUUUUCCUAGUUUCACGCAGCUAGCUCCAACAAAAAGCCUUGUGAACCUCUGGGAGCUUUUUGAUGAACUUCUGUUGAAUUUUGCAGAUGCUCACUGAAACAUAACCCUGGAUAUGUUUAACAGCACUUCUGAGUUUGCAGCUGAAGUUCAAAUGUGAUUUCUUUCAUCAAAGUCCCUCUUAAAUAGAAGUGAUGUCUCACCAUGUCUUAGUGAUGAUUUUGAUCCAGCUUUGCCUCUCGGGUCAACACUUUGUUAGGAGCAGAUAUUAACAUAUGUAGUUCUGCGUCUGCCUCCCACAACGCAAUGCUACACUUUGCUAACUUUCUCCAGACCCGGAAAGAUUCUCCUUUGCUUGGUUACAGCAAUGGCACGGCACGUCUGGAUCUCUUUCAAGUGACUCCUUUAUCUUCCACAAUUGUUUUUUCCUACCCUCUCUUUUCCUCUGCUUAUACAAAAUCAAAGUUUUGAACAUGUUGUAUUAGUUAACAGAAAAAAAAAAAAAUCAACAUACUUAAACUAUGCCGUAAGCUCCUUUCCUACUCCUCCUCUGCAAAGGAAAAACGAAGGUUCAGCACCAUGAAGGCAGAGGAGGAGGGAAGGAGGCAUCUGUGGGAUCGUGGUCCUAUGUUCUUUUGCUGAUAGAUGCCUGAGGGUGGAAGGGAAGGAAGAAGAGAAGGAAAGAAAGGAGGAAGAAAGGAAUAUCACAGUAACCACAAGGGUGGGUUAGGGAGAAGGCAUCUGCUUUUGAAGUUUCUUUACAUAUCCUCAAAUUGACAAGAAUGAAGUUAUGAAAAGCACAAAUUGCUUAGAUACAAAGUGGGCAGUGUUGUUACAUAAACUGUUCUCUCUGGGAUUAACCACUGUCGUUCACAGUCACUUAUCUCAGUUUCAGAAAGUUUGGGACACUUGGAAGAAAGGGGAGAACAGAUAUGCUGAGACUGUGUGUCUCAGUGUUCCCACAUUUGUGGGGAAUUAUAUUACAGCUUUUACGUUCUGUAGAAGGAGACUAGAAGAGUGCAGGAGACAGGAGAUGAGGAAAAAAUAAAACCCAAUGUCAAGAUUAUUUUUUUUUUUUAAUUUUUAACAUAGGAGCAUUGACUGUUGUCUGAUUUUUUUUUUUUUUUUUUUUUUUUUUCUGAGCUAUUGGGUAAGGAGGGGCUGAGAGAUGCUGGGGGGAGCUGGUGGUUAAGUGGCAGAACAAACACAUCAAUUCAUAGUUCAUGCUACGGUGAGUUAAACAGCUCUAAGUAGCUUGAAGACUGACUGAAAUACAGCCUACGGCUGUCUGUCUUCUAACAGUUCAUCUUUUAUGGCCAAUUGCCUACUAUGAAACAGAACAUUUAUGGCAUGGCCCAAGUAAAGAGGCAAAUGAUUCAUCCAGAUCCAAGAUUUAAAGAACAGGAUUGAGAGGCUGGUUAAGUUUUAAAUUAUAAAGAAAAUAAGAAAGCAUGAAAAGAUCAGGUGGCAGGUUUGGUUUGGUAUUGAAGGCUGAAUAUUGAAGCAGAAAACAUAGAGACAAUACCCCAACUUCUUAGUGAAGGCAGUCAGCACUCAAAAUCAUACUACUGUCCCCACAAAGAGAGAAAGAGAGCAAUAUCACUUCAGAAGAAAUGGUAACAAAGCACCUAAAA